UGGGGGGUGUCAUCCCGAAGCAACCGGGUUUCCUUUUAUGCCUAAGUUAAUUUUAUUCAUCAUAUGUUGAUUGUGCAUUAUAGGAUUAGUAGAAGUAUAUUUUCAUUCCUUGCAUGCUUACUUAGUAGUGUAGCGGUAUGGACCUAACACUUGGACUAGGGAGACAUGAGGAUUGGGUCUUGAGACAAAGAAUCAGAUAGUGGCAAAAGUGAUGAACUUGGACAUAGGCUAGUAGAGGGGCAUUGAACUAGUGUAGUAGAAACACUAAACAAGAACGAGUGGCAUGUCAAUUAGCUAGAAAACUUACUACAAUGAUCGAACGAGUGGCAUCGGGUCUAGUGUAGUAAACAUGACAUGGUUCUAGGGAUAGUAGAGAUCCCGGCAUCUAGGAUGCAUUGUAUAUUGUGCAGUAGAGGCACAUUGACCCUAGUAGACAGGGUAUCCUCUUGUGAGGAUUGGAUCAUACUCAUUAGUCUGUUUUUGCUUGUCGGUGGUCGCUCCACCGAGGCACGAGUCUCUGGAGUACUUCACUAGGGGCAGACGUAGUUGUCCCGCAGACGGUCUCGUUGUGUGAGUGCAGUUUCUCCUCACCUAUGAGAUUGAGAGUGAGUCGAGGGUUUAAGCUACGGGUUAACCAAGUGGAUUGGGUAAUAAACAUGAAAUGCAUAGUAGACUUGCAUUAUUACCUUGAGUAGACAUAGUGUAUGUUGUAGAUUACAUUGCUAUGCAUCUUUAUAUACUCAUGACAUGAUACUAGCAUGAUAGUAAUUGUUGCAUGCAUUAUUAUCAUUGAUGGCAUGAUAGAGUAGUCGCAGUUUACUUUUAUCUAUCUAUCUAUCUAUCUAUCUGUGCAAGCUUAGACCUAGUGAAAAAACCGGCGGCGUCGGCGGCCGAACCCACUGGGAACUAUAUUUAUAUAGUUCUCACCCCGUGCGGUUUUGGGGUAUAGGUACACAUAGAGGCGAGUCGAGCGAGGAUCGUGGCAAGGGCAUAGCGCCCUAAGUGAGCCUAGUUAGUAACUUUUCCUUUAUGCAUUAGAGUACCCUCGUGUACUAGAAGAUGUUUUGGAUAGUUAUUGGAGAGCUACUUGUAUUUUGAUGAAAACAUGUAUUCACAUUUUGGAAGAUGAAAAUGUAAAUAUUGAAUGGUUGAGAUAGUUAGACUAUCUCUCUUUAUACACUUGUAUACCACUUGUGGUUCUUGCUCUUAGUUACUUGGCACUUGUGUGCCUUAGUCGAUCAUGUAUGUAUUGAAUUUAUUCUCCUGGGCAAAUUCUUGUACAUGAUUUGGGGGUUUAGCCUUGGGCGGACAGGAGAGGUGCUGUCCGUUCGGCGGUCUAUCCGGCGCGCCCGAACCGUGCCAAAUUGGUAGUGGAUUCGGAGCGGGGCGUGACAAGAGUUGUUGGUAUCAGAGCAAUUAAGAGCAAGUAAAGAGAGAGUCUAGGAUGGACCUAAGAGACCUUGGGACGGUGAACCCUAGGAGUGUAUAGGUACGUGAGAGAAACGAAAACCUAAAUCGGUUGAGGAAGAAUCCGAUUGGGUUGGAUCGAGCAUAGAUCUCUAGUGUGGCUAGAGAUAGAUCCGAGCGGUGUUAGUUCCGAGCUCGAGGAGUUUGUGUUGGCGGCCGACAACACGACGCUAAGAGUUAGGACUAAUACACUAGUGUACGUCCGCUUAUGGUGGAGUUGAGUCGCAUAAUAUAGUGUAUGCGAUGGAGUUAAGUGGGUUAGGUUGGAUCGAGUAUAGAUCUCUAGUGUGGCUAGAGAUAGAUCCGAGAGGUGUUAGUUCUGAGCUCGAGGAGUUUGUGUUGGCGGCCGACAACACGACGCUAAGAGUUAGGACUAAUACACUAGUGUACGUCCGCUUAUGGUGGAGUUGAGUCGCAUAAUAUAGUGUAUGCGAUGGAGUUAAGUGGGUUAGGUGACUAACCCGAUUGUUGCGUUGUAGGAACAAUGUCCCCAAGACGGUACGUGCGUAGGUCCGUUCCGGCACCAUCUUCUGAGGUGCCCGAGCCGGAUCUAGUGAGGUACAGGAGUUACGGGCACAGGUGUCGGCAUUGACCGGUAUUGUACAACGCCAGGAGAGUCGAUUUGAGCAGCUCCAAGGGCUUAUGGAGCUGCAUUUUGCGGCGGCAACUGCAGCUGCGACUGAGGGCCGUGAUCCGCCCCCGCCUCCAGCUCGUGCGCCUACAGCGGCUGAGGGCGAGGGCAUUGCGGCAGUUCCGGUGGCGGCACGUCCUCCGCCGGCAAGCUUUCCUCCGGCGGCGUCGGGUUCCACGACACCCGAUGCGACGGCAUUAGAGGCGGAGAGGGAGCGCGCACUUGCGGCUCUCGAGAAGUUCCGAAGGUUUAAUCCACCGACCUUCGAGGGAGAGAAGGUCGAGCCGUGGAUGGUUGAGUCGUGGGUGGACUCAAUGGAGACCUUGUUUGAGGAUCUCUACACGUUGGAGAGGGACAAGGUCUACCUCGCCACUCAUUGUUUGGAGCGGACGGCGAAGGUUUGGUGGAAGCGAAUCAAGAGGAACCGAGCUUUCGACCUUCCGCCGUUGACAUGGGAGGAGUUCCGGGGGUUGUUCUAUGUCAAUUACUUCCCCGAUAGCAAGAAGAAAAAGCUCCAAGAGCAAUUUCGAAAAUUGAAGCAAGGUGGUCGCACGGUAGCGGAGUAUGAGCGGGAGUUCUCUCACAUCAUCGACUGCGUCCCCGACGUAGUGCGGGGUGACAGGGAUCGAGCCGAUUGGUUCGAGCCAGGGCUCCGGGCGGAUAUCUACCGGGCGGUGCACAUUUUGAAGCUCACUACCUUCGCGGAGGUGCUCGAUCGAGCGUUGUGGGCGGAGCAAGGAAACACUCACAUCCGGGAGGAGCGAGAAGCGUCCGAGAAGGACGGUGGUAAGAAGCGGGCUCAGAGUAGCUCGGGAGCUCAAACUAAGUCAAAGAGGCCCCCGAAGUACCCCCGAACGCAAUCCAAGGGCCGCGGACCGCAGCGAUCCACAAUCUGUGGUGGAAACCACGAGCCUAGGACGUGUGAUCAAUGGGAAGGGAAGUGCUUCACGUGUGGACAGGCGGGCCAUAUCAGCCGCCAUUGUCCAGUAAGGGCUUUGCCUGCCUCUUCGGUCGCGUCGGCUCCGGCGACUCCGGCACAUUAUGGAGGAGUUCCAUUUGCUGCGUAAUCGGCUUGACGUGCGAUGGUACCAGGCCAAUCUAAGGCGACGAGAUCGGCUCCGAGCGGGCGGGUGUUCGCCGCUCCAGGGCCAUGUUUGAUACAGGUGCUACGCAUUCAUUCAUUAGUAGGUCAUUUGCACGCAUGCAUGACAUAGAACUACAAGAGAGUAAAAGCACUUGGAGGGUAUCGGGCCCCGGACGUGAUUUUCUAGUCCGGAUGGAGUGUUCGUCUUGUCCAGUGCGAUUGGGUGAUUGGGUAAUGCCCAUCCGUAUGUUGGUGUUUAAGAAGUUGAAAGACUUCGACGUCAUUCUAGGAAUGGAUUGGCUCUCGAAAUACUAUGCAACUAUUCACUGCAGAAGUAAAGUAAUAACGUUUCGAGAGCCGGGCCAAAAGGAAUUCAUCUACCGAGCCUGUAGAAGCUCGCGCUUCGCUGCAAUGGUGUCGGUGACGAGGGCGAGGAAGUUGAUUAACAGCGGUUGUACGGCCUAUUUGGCGACCGUUGUAGAGGUCGAGAGGACGACUCCGGCACUCGAGGAACUAUCCGUGGUCCGAGAGUUUUCGGAUGUGUUUCCCGCGGAAUUACCGGGAAUGCCGCCAGACCGGAAGAUCGAGUUCGUGACAGAAUUGGUUUCGGGAACCGCGCCUAUCUCGAAGGCUCCGUAUCGGAUGGCGCCGGCGGAAUUGAAAAAAUUGCGGGCUCAAUUAUUGGAUCUCCUUGAUAAAGGGUUUAUACGGCCAAGUGUAUUGCCGUGGGGAGCCCCGGUCCUAUUCGUGCGAAAGAAGGAUGGAUCGUUUCGGCUCUGCGUAGAUUAUCGCGAGUUGAACAAGGUCACGAUCAAGAAUAAGUACCCGUUGCCGAGGAUUGACGAUCUGUUUGAUCAGUUGCAAGGGUCUCGGGUUUAUUCAAAGAUUGACCUGCAGUCCGGUUAUCACCAACUUAAGAUCAAGCAGGAAGAUGUGCAAAAUACCGCGUUUCGCACGCGGUAUGGACACUAUGAAUUCACGGUCAUGCCGUUUGGGCUUACUAACGCCCCGGCAGCGUUCAUGGAUUUGAUGAACCGUGUCUUCAAGGAGUACUUGGACCGAUUUGCCGUGGUCUUCAUAGACGACAUCUUGGUCUACUCGCGUAGCGACGAGGAACAUGCCGAACAUUUGAGAAUAGUGCUUCAAGUCCUUCGGGAGGAGAAGCUAUAUGCUAAGUUUAAGAAAUGCAACUUUUGGCUCCGAGAGGUUGCAUUUCUUGGGCAUGUUAUUUCCGAAGGUGAAGUAUCUGUUGACCCGAGGAAAGUGGAGGCGAUCAAGGAUUGGCCUCGCCCGACUAACGUCACGGAAGUUCGAAGCUUCGUGGGUUUAGCGGGUUAUUAUAGACGGUUCGUGGAGGGAUUCUCGAAGAUCGUGGGUCCACUUACCCGUCUGACUCGGAAAGGCGCCAAGUUCAUUUGGAACGACGAGUGCGACCGGAGUUUUCAAGAGUUGAAGAAUAGAUUAACUUCGACUCCGGUGCUCGCCUUAUCGGUGCAAGAUGAAGACUUUGUGGUGUAUAGCGACGCGUCACAUUCGGGCUUAGGGUGUGUUCUGAUGCAGGGCGAGAAGGUGAUCGCUUAUGCGUCCUGUCAGCUGAAAAGCUAUGAGAAGAACUACCCUGUUCACGACUUAGAGUUGGCCGUAGUAGUGUUAGCUCUCAAGUUAUGGAGGCACUACUUGUAUGGCGCGCGUUGCGAGAUAUACACGGACCACAAAAGUUUGAAAUACCUUUUCACACAGAAGGAGCUCAACAUGCGGCAGCGGCGGUGGUUAGAAUUGCUGAAGGAUUUCGAUAUCACAAUCCUAUACCACCCCGGAAAAGCAAACGUGGUGGUCGACGUGCUUAGCAGGAAGUCAGUGGAAAAUCUUGCUAUGUUGGUCACACGCCAGGAGCCACUGUGGAGAGAGAUGGAACGAUUGGAUCUCGAGGUGGUAGCUCCGAAAAUCCCGUCUAUGCUUAUGGCUCUUGUUGUCCAACCGACCUUGUUGGAGCAAAUUAAGAGUUUGCAAUCUGCAGACCCCAAUCUCCAAAAGGUGCGGCGAGACAUCGAGAGUGGACACGACGGUGAUUUCAGUGUAGACGCCGAGGGUGCGCUUCGGUUUCGAAAUCGAUGGUGCAUACCGAAAAUCGAGGAGGUCCGGAAGUUGAUCUUACAAGAAGCACAUCGGACUCCUUAUAGCAUUCACCCGGGCGGCACCAAGAUGUACCGUGACCUGAAGAUGCAGUACUGGUGGCCGGGCAUGAAAACUGAUAUUGGGCGCUAUGUAGCGCAAUGCUUAGUAUGCCAGCAAGUGAAGGUCGAGCGCCGAUUUUCAGCGGGAAAGCUCCAAAGUCUACCUAUCCCCGUUUCGAAAUGGGAGAAUAUUGCUAUAGACUUCGUGGUCGGAUUGCCCCGUUCGACGGGUGGCCACGACGCGAUCUGGGUGAUUGUGGAUCGUAUGACCAAGUCGGCACACUUUCUACCGAUUCACACCACCUGGUCGGGCGACAAGUUGGCGCAGGUAUACUUGGAUGAAGUUGUGAGGUUGCACGGGGUUCCGAAGUCGAUCGUGUUAGAUCGAGACCCUCAUUUUACUUCGCACUUUUGGAAGAGUCUGCAAGAAGCACUUGGCACACAGCUCGAUUUCAGCAUCGCGUUUCAUCCUCAGACAGAUGGACAGUCGAAAAGGACUACAAAUUUUGGAGGAUAUGUUGCGGGCGUGUGUCAUUGACUACAAGGGUAGUUGGGCAAACCACUUGAGAAUGGCCAAGUUCGCCUAUAAUAAUAGUUACAAAGCUAGCAUUGGGAUGACACCGUUCGAGGUCCUAUAUGGGCGGAAGUGCCGAUCCCCUAUAUGUUGGAGCGAUGUAGGUGAGCCUGCGGCAUUGGGCCCCGAUGUAUUGCUAGAGGCGGAAAGGAAGGUCCGUCUCGCUCGCGAGAGACUACUUACGGCACAGUCACAGCAAAAGAGCUAUUCUGACAAACGUCGUAGAGAUUUGGAAUUCGCGGUUGGUGACCGCGUUUUCUUGAAGGUUUCGCCGAUGAGAGGUGUGAAACGCUUCGGAGUGCUGGGAAAGCUAAGUCCCCAAUAUAUCGGACCUUUCGAGGUGUUGGAACGUGUUGGAGCGGUAGCGUACCGACUUGUAUUACCGCCAAAGCUCGCGGGUGUGCAUAAUAUGUUCCACGUCUCCAACCUUCGCAAGUAUAUUCCCGAUCCCGAGCACGUUAUGUACUACGAACCGCCGGAUCUACAGAAAGAUUUGAGAUAUGAAGAGUUCCCGACGAUGAUCAUUGCUCGAGAAGUGCGAAAAUUGAGAAACCGUGAGAUUCCCUACGUGAAGAUUCGUUGGACCGGUCACGACGAUCGUGAGGCUACGUGGGAACUCGAGGAAACGAUAAAAGUGCACUAUCCUUAUCUCUUUACAGAAAUGCAUUGAGGUAUGAGUUGAUUAAGAUAGUGAAUUCGUUUCGAGGACGAAACUCCAUUUUAGGAGGGGAGGAUGUGAGGAAGUGAAUUCUCGAAAUACGAGAGUUAGACUUCAUUCAGAAUCGACCAAGGGUCGUGUUGGUGAGCUUUGGAAAAGCCAAAGAUACUAAAAUCACCAAAAGUGCAUUGGAAGUGAGUCCACGAGAGCAAAUAGUGCAAAACUUGCACUGGAGCAAAACUGCUCUCGGGGACCGGUCUCUGGUAGGGAGGGACCGGUCCCAUUGGCUGGUGUUGCGGGGCUGCUUAAGGGAACCGGUCCCUGGUAGGGAGGGACCGGUCCCCGAACGCGAACCCAGUGAGAAAGCCAGAAAAUUGGCUAAGUCCUGAAAUCCCAGCUCUCGGAAACCGGUCUCUCAGGAAGGAACCGGUCUCCCGAGGACCGGUCUCUCUGGGAGAGACCGGUGCCCGAACGCGUGACCCGAGCUGAAGCUCUCGGGGACCGGUCCCAAGUCGGGGAGACUGGUCCCUCCGCACGUAGAAUGCCCAGUGAGGGCUGUGUAGGGGAUGAAAAGUAGAGGGGGCUGCUAGGAUAUUAUUACAUUAGAGAGUAUAGGGGACCCCCUCUCUCUCUCCAACUCUCAUUUUCUCUCCCUCUCUUACACUCUCUUGUUCCCUCUCUAUCUCUAGAAGGAAAAGAGAAGAAGAACAAGAAGGAGAAGAAGGAAAGGAAGAGAAGAAAAGGAAAGGGAAGAAAAGGAAGGAGAAGAAGAAAGAGAUCAAGAGGAAGACCUUGGACAUCUUUCCUUCCCUCUCCUCUUCUCCUUGGUGUAGCUAAGAGGUAAGCUACCAAACCCUAGCUUAUGAAACUUAGGGUUUUUGGGUUUUAGCUCUUUGGAUGGGAUCAAAUAGAUCCCUAGCACCAUGAAUGGUAAGAUUGGAGCUAGAAUCUAGGAUUUUGAGAUGGGUUUAGCUUGGUGCUAACCCUAGGGCUCCAAAAUAGGGUUUUUGAUAAAGUAUGAGAUUGAUCUCAUUUGAGACCAUGUAAACCUAAUUGCUAGGUAACGAAACGCGGGAGCGAAGUCGGAAUUUCGAUUAGUUGAGCGGAUCAAGAGCUAUCGGCAAAAUAAGGCCGAUUGAGCAUUAUUUUGGACCAAGAAGAUCAAGACUUCGUCGUAACGUUCGUUGGAGGGCAUUUCUAGAGCCUUCAUACCCUCAAGAGGUGGGGGGUGUCAUCCCGAAGCAACCGGGUUUCCUUUUAUGCCUAAGUUAAUUUUAUUCAUCAUAUGUUGAUUGUGCAUUAUAGGAUUAGUAGAAGUAUAUUUUCAUUCCUUGCAUGCUUACUUAGUAGUGUAGCGGUAUGGACCUAACACUUGGACUAGGGAGACAUGAGGAUUGGGUCUUGAGACAAAGAAUCAGAUAGUGGCAAAAGUGAUGAACUUGGACAUAGGCUAGUAGAGGGGCAUUGAACUAGUGUAGUAGAAACACUAAACAAGAACGAGUGGCAUGUCAAUUAGCUAGAAAACUUACUACAAUGAUCGAACGAGUGGCAUCGGGUCUAGUGUAGUAAACAUGACAUGGUUCUAGGGAUAGUAGAGAUCCCGGCAUCUAGGAUGCAUUGUAUAUUGUGCAGUAGAGGCACAUUGACCCUAGUAGACAGGGUAUCCUCU
This 8257-nucleotide long non-coding RNA is filed under the name Ananas comosus (pineapple). RNAcentral's name for it is "long non-coding RNA (ACOM_LNC008827)". The record is from RNAcentral. Lineage: Eukaryota; Viridiplantae; Streptophyta; Magnoliopsida; Poales; Bromeliaceae.